UUAACGAUGAAGAGUUUGAUCCUGGCUCAGGAUGAACGCUAGCGGCAGGCCUAACACAUGCAAGUCGAGGGGUAACAGGGUUGCUUGCAACCGCU
Molecule: ribosomal RNA, 95 nt
Filed under: Flavobacteriaceae bacterium R38
Lineage: Bacteria; Pseudomonadati; Bacteroidota; Flavobacteriia; Flavobacteriales; Flavobacteriaceae
Description: partial 16S ribosomal RNA
Rfam family: Bacterial small subunit ribosomal RNA
Source: RNAcentral